Molecule: ribosomal RNA, 265 nt
Filed under: uncultured archaeon
Lineage: Archaea
Description: partial 16S ribosomal RNA
Rfam family: Archaeal small subunit ribosomal RNA
Source: RNAcentral
AGACGUCACACAUUAGAUACCCCUGUAGUCCCAGCCCUAAACGAUGCGCGUUAGGUGUAUCGGUGACCACGAGUCACCGAGGUGCCGAAGGGAAACCGUGAAACGUGCCGCCUGGGAAGUACGGUCGCAAGGCUGAAACUUAAAGGAAUUGGCGGGGAGCACCACAACGGGUGGAGCCUGCGGUUUAAUUGGACUCAACGCCGGGAAGCUCACCGGAUAAGACAGCGGAAUGAUUGCCGGGCUGAAGACCCUGCAUGACCAGCUG